RNAcentral lists this ribosomal RNA (408 nucleotides) under uncultured bacterium. RNAcentral's name for it is "partial 16S ribosomal RNA". It matches the Rfam family "Bacterial small subunit ribosomal RNA", at positions 28 to 526 of the family's 1533-position model. The record is from RNAcentral.
GACGAACGCUGGCGGCGUGCUUAACACAUGCAAGUCGAACGGAGUGGCGAACGGGUGAGUAUUACGUGAGUAACCUGCCCUCAACUGUGGGAUAAGCCUGGGAAACUGGGUCUAAUACUGCAUAGUUGGGGAUGGGCUCGCGGCCUAUCGGGUUGUUGGUGGGGUGAUGGCCUACCAAGGCGGUGACGGGUAGCCGGCCUGAGAGGGUGGUCGGCCACAGUGGGAGGGAGAUACGGCUCAGACGCCGACGAGAGGCAGCAGUGGGGGAGAGGGCGCAAUGGGGACAAGGCUGAUGCGGGGGCGCCGCGUGGGGGAUGAAGGCGUUCGGGUUGUAAACCUCUUUCGGUGGAGAAAGGGUAUGUGCAGAAGAAGCGCCGGCUAACUACGUGCCAGCAGCCGCGGUAAUAC